This 253-nucleotide ribosomal RNA is filed under the name uncultured bacterium. RNAcentral's name for it is "partial 16S ribosomal RNA". It matches the Rfam family "Bacterial small subunit ribosomal RNA", at positions 524 to 776 of the family's 1533-position model. The record is from RNAcentral.
UACGUAGGGUGCGAGCGUUACUCGGAAUUACUGGGCGUAAAGCGUGCGCAGGCGGUUCGUUAAGUUCGUUGUGAAAGCCCCGGGCUCAACCUGGGAACUGCAAUGGAAACUGGCGGGCUUGAGUGCGGCAGAGGGGGGUGGAAUUCCGCGUGUAGCAGUGAAAUGCGUAGAGAUGCGGAGGAACACCGAUGGCGAAGGCAGCCCCCUGGGCCGACACUGACGCUCAGGCACGAAAGCGUGGGGAGCAAACAGG